CGGCCUCCCAAAGUACUGGGAUUACAGGUGUGAGCUACCGCACCUGGCCACAAAGCCGAUUUUCUAUAGCAGAUACCUAAAGGCCAGUGCCCACUGCUAGCAGCCUGAGUAGUUCAGUGAUGGAGUUAGACCCAUACCCUUUCUAGUCUUCUGGGAGGAGCACCCCCAUGUCCACAGCUGCUGUCACACCUCGAAGUGACCAGGGACUUCAGAUGCCAUUGGACCCUAGACAAGCCAAGGCCACUCUGAGCCCUAUCUAUCACAGGAAGGGUUAGACUGAGGUCCCUAACCCUGUGUGAGGGUAAAAAGCUGUGAGUCCCCUAGAGUGGGGUGGAAGGGGGCAGGACUUCAGGGACAGCAGGAAUUGGAGUCCCAGGGUUAAUUGUGACCCAUUGCAGGAAGGUGAAGCAGAUGCACCUUAACUUCAUGGAUGAAAAGGAUCGAAUCAUCACAGCUUUCUACAACGAAGCCCGGGCACGGGCCAGGGCCAACAGAGCCAGCCUUCAGCAGGAGCGACAACGGCUAGGGCAGCGGCAGCCGCCACCAUCCGAGCCAACCCAAGGCCCCGAGAUCGUUCCCCCGGGCGCCGGCCCCUGAGGGGCUCACCUGGAUGGGGCCUACAGUGCGUUCCCGCCUUGCUUCCUUCCCUGGACGGCCCGCUCCCCGAAACGCGCGCAAUAAAGUGAUUCGCAGAGCUCG
This 699-nucleotide small RNA is filed under the name Pongo abelii (Sumatran orangutan). RNAcentral describes it as "retained intron". The record is from RNAcentral. Lineage: Eukaryota; Metazoa; Chordata; Mammalia; Primates; Hominidae.